GAGAAGAUACAGCCGAAGAGAGCGCACGAGUUGGGAGGUGGGGGUUGGAGGAGAGGUGGAGGGGCGCCGGAUGUGUGAGGAAUUAUAUUGGGUCCUUGUGCACUCCAAAUAAAAAGCGGGAGCAAAAGAAAAAAGAGGCGGCAAGUGAAAAAAACAAAAAUGGGAAGAUAACUGAUGAUAAAAAGGAGGCGGCAAACGUAAAAAUGAGGCGGGCUAAAAUUAAAAAUCAAUAUGGAGAAACAAUAUCACCAGGCCAUAGCGCCGUUGCUAUCUUGCUCCACAGUCAGCAACGCCUUUGACGUCUCGAGAAGAACAGACUCCUUCGAUGAGGAGCAAGACGAUGGCACGAGCUCGCCGCGCGCCAGCGUCUCCACCGUCGAUCUCAUCUUGUUGCGGUGGUCGAGCUCGUCGCGCAUCGCCCAUUUGUCCCCACGCCGCUGCGGUUCUUGCUGGAGAUUAAUUGGAAGGGAAACAGAAGGGGAAAGAAGACUCUAGCUAGAGUUCAGAUGAGAAAGGAAUGGAUAAGGAUAACAGGAAGCCGUAGAUGGAUGGAUACGGACGAGGGUGGCGUUCCCAUCUGAAUUUUUUAUCGGCUCGGACACUGCGCCUAAGGAACGGCUAGGAUGCAGCAGCAAGCCGCUGCUACAGCGGCUGCAACCUGCACUGUCACAAAUUUUUUUACACAGAAAAUAAGGCUGGGCAUGUAUUUGGAAGCAGCUGGCUGGGCAGCCGGGAUGCAGCUGGCUUGGCAGCCGGGCCGACGAAAAUUUUUUUACACAACGGCUGUGCUGUUUAGCUGCAGCUAAGCAUAAGCGAGCAAGGAUUUUAAAAUCUACUGUUAUCAUCCUUUUUCAUUUUGUUUUUUAUUUGCUUUAUACUGAAAAAAGUAUGGGACUUCAUUUUAUUCAUUUUAUUUUUACUAGAGGCAGACAUGGUUUUCUUAAUGAACUACAAUUUUUGUCUUGAAAUCCUGUAAUAAGUAGAUCCUCUUAGAUUGCACUAUUAAACUUUGGGCCUAAUUUGCAGUAUCAAUACAUCCAUAAACCUUAAACUUUUCUAAUUUUGUUAUGUCAAAUGGACCAGCUUAUAUGUCUUACUAGCAAAAUGCCCGUGCGUUGCUACGAUAAAGAUCAAUUUUGUUUUUUAAUAUCAUGAAAUUUUUUUUAUUUCUAGCACUAAAUUUUUAUUGCACUUUUGGAUUGGAUGUCUACUCAUUUGCUAGAAAAUCAAAAUAAUUUUGGUUUAAUUAUUUCUUUCGAUCAAAUACUCAUUAAGUUUCUACCUUUGUUAUUUAAGCAAGAGAAUUGCUAGAGAGAAAAAAUACAUACGUAAUAUUGUUGUACCAUACAAAGCGACCACAUUUCACAUAUAGUCCAGCUUAACAAACACCGUUAUCGUCCGGCUUAACAAACACCGUUAUCAUCUGAACAUAGCGUACAUGCAUUAGUAGAGGUGGAUCCGUUUCUAAUUAAGUGCAAGUAGCAUAGCGUAGAAUCAGCCCGCACCAACAUUGAACAAUUGCGAUAAUUUUUAUCUUCUCGUGUAAUUUUUCUACUCCACAACGUAUUAGACUCCUCAUCAUAAAUGCCAUGUUCUUUUCAAGCGACAAACGGUUUCUAAAGUUUGGAAAUUAAAUAGAUAGCUAGAAAAUUUUUAAAAAUACCUGUAUAGAUAAUACAUGUUCUUUGCAAACUAAGAAUAGUUUUUUACCAUGGUACCAAAAGGAAAAUGGCUAUGAUCAUUGCCACGUAUGGCAGGUGAUGGUGGAUGGCCUAUGGGUUUUUCUUAAUUACUCGUAUAAUAAGCUAAAAUCUAUUUUUUAUUCACAAAUGAACUGUAGCCGAAGUGGAGAUAGUGCUUCUUUCGGAGGUAGAGGUCAAUGGAUCAGAUCCCUCCCAUGCAUGUUUUUUGGAUUUCUACUUUCCUUUUUUUUCCAGCAGAGGUGUUCCUGCAUGUUUUUGGAUUUCUACUUGCCUUUUUUUUUCCAGCAGAGGUUUUCCUCGGUUGAUGGGCAGGCCGGCCAAUUUUCUUCGUUUUCUUUUUUGUUUGCGGGCUGGCUGCCAUUUCAAUUCGUAAAGAACGAUAACUUGGACAGGCCCUAUGAUAUGAUUAACCCACAACUCUUCAAUAGCAUGCAGCCAUAUAAUUCAGUUAGAUGCACUCAAAUUUUGGAGUGACAGAACUCACACAACAGGCAUGGCAAAGAAAAAGAGCCCAGCAGAACAUUUGAUUCUAAACAACAUAGCCAAAUCCUCACAUGAAACCGGGAACACAAGGGGGUCGCUUGUAACAAUUUAAGAACACGAGUUUUUCAGGUUCACAAGCCUGCUAGAAAGGACAGCAAAAUUAACUACCACAGUAGGAUGUAGGGAGUGUCAUCUAAUAAACAUUGAGAUAAGCAUUGUAUCCAUGUCUUUAACAGGUUGAUUGUUUGCCAAAUCAAAAGAAAAAAGCUCAAAUUAUUCAUGCUAGGAGCCAGGAACUGAAAGCCCAAGCAGAUUUAAUAUGUUUCAUCUGAUGAUAGUUCAUCACCCAUGUCAAAGUCAUCUCUUGGUUUAACUCUUACCACCACGUUCCAUCCUUUAGCUUUCGGGUCUUCAACAUAGAAAACUUGCUUCGCUUGUGAAGAGAAUACAAAAGGAUCAUGCUCUAAUUUCUCUCCAGUAUGUAUUUUUCGAGAAAAAUUCACAAGAGUGAAUCCAAAAUCAUCUUUUCGGAAACCAGCACGGUGGUGGACAUCAUACCAGUCACAUUUGAAAAGCACCACCUUGUAGUCUUUGUACCACAAUUCUAUUAUAUCUGAUAAUCUGCCAUAAUAAUGAACUCCAUCUGCUGCAAUGUUCACUACGCCACUGUUUUGUGUCAAUCGUGCAGCCUCACGACCCAUGGUGUGGAACCUGAAACCAUUAACAAUAUAGCCACUGUACUGCACACCACAUUUUCUUGGUUUUUCAGCGAUUGCUCUUGUCUUUUCAGUGAUCCCUAGUCCAUCAUCUAGUAUAACCUGUACAUAAGAAAAUAAUUACAUCCAUUCUCCUACUAAAUUCAUAAACAUCAUUUUAAGAUGUACCUUCUGUUCCAACCAGUCAGCAAAGUGUUGAUCAAUCAACAUCUCUAUGGUAGAAGGUGUUAAACUUGUUGAGGGACACUGUUUACUUUUCUGGUCAUCCAAAAAUUCUCUAAAAUAAGAUAACAAAUUAUAGUAUCAAGUCAUCAAGUUAUGUAAACCAAAUAAACAAGAGAAAGCUAUACUGCUCACCUGCGAAAACAUUCUAGUUCAUCACAGUGUCGCAAGACAUAUCUAUGUGCCUGAACAAGAAGCUGAUUGUCAAAUUGGGCUGCAGUGCUACCUUUUCCAAUUGAUUCACCCGCACUGUUAAAUAGGUACAUAUCUUUUAUUUUGUCUAAAGGUUCAGGGUUUCUAGAUGGCCUUGUAAAACAUGUAGUUCCUUCUAUGAACCUUGAACAGAAAGUCAUGCAUUCUGCAGUUUUAUAUCCUUCAGCAAUUGAACCUUCUGGAUGAGCUCUGUUCUUCACAAGUGCCUUAAGUCGAACAAAAAACCUACACACAAUUAAAAAAAUAUGUUAUUCCUGUGAAUUAUUAAAGAGGACAAGGCAAAAGAUAAACAAAAUACCUCUCGAGAGGAUACAUCCAUCGAUAGUGCACAGGGCCACCAAGUUUUGCUUCUUCAGCCAAGUGCACCAUCAAAUGCACCAUUACAGUAAAAAAUGAUGGAACAAAAGUUCUCUCCAUAUUACAAAGUGUCACCACAAUACUUUCUUGAAGUUUGUCGAGCUCAGACACAUCUAAUACCUUGGAGCAUAAUUUCUUGAAGAAAUUAGCUAACUCGAUGACUAUUCUCAUGACAUCUUUGCUGGGGUAACAUGAUCGGAGUGCUACAAGAAGAAUAUCAUGCAGCAAAACAUGAUUAUCAUGACUCUUUAGUCCACUCAAUUUGCACUCUUUCAUGUUGACACACCUAGAAAUGUUUGAUGCAUAGCCAUCAGGUGUUCUAAUAUUCCGAAGUACGGAACAAAGAAUCUCCUUUUUCUCUCUAGACAUAGUAAAAGGUGCAUCAGGUGCCUUUUGCUUUCCUUGGUCAUCUACCACAGGAUGCAAUUCUUCCCGAAUUCCAAGUUCCACUAAAUCUAGUCGUGCAUUCAGGUCAUCCUUUGUUUUAGAAUAAAUAUCCAGCAAAGUUGCAAUCAAAUUUUCACACACGUUUUUCUCUAUAUGCAUUACAUCCAGGUUGUGUCUUAGUUUGUUCUCCUCCCAGUAUGGUAGCUUGAAAAAUAUUGACCUCUUUUUCAACCAAUCUUCUGGAUUCUUUUCUUUCUUACCUCGGUUGGCAUUUAAUUUCUUCUCACUUUCUCCUCUUUUACGCUUGCCCUUCUGAUGGUCCAGGUCAUUCCUUUUGGUGUUUCUACCUUUCUUCUUUGCAAAGCAGACCUUCUUCCCUAACACAAACUCUCUGCCUUGUAACAUUGUCAGAACAGAAGUGCCACUCAUUGUUUUAGGGGGAUCUUCGGUCUCUUCAGCCCCAUCAAACUGCUCCUUUUGCCUUCGAUAUUUGUGAUCAUGUGGCAACCAUCGUCGAUGACCCAUAUAACAUGUCUUUCUACUCUUAUUUAGGUAAAAUGAUUUUGUUGACGCACCACAAGAAGGACAUGCGUAUGUACCACUUGUGCUCCAACCAUAAAGGUAAGCUAAUGCUGGAAAGUCAUUUAAAGUCCACAAUAGUGUAGCUCGGAGAUAAAAUGUCUUCUGGAAAGAGGCGUCAAUUGUUUCCACUCCCCUCCACAACUCUAAGAGCUCAUCGAUCAAUGGUUCCAAAUAUACAUCAAUAUCAUUCCCUGGAGAAUCUGGUCCAGGAAUGAUCAUCGACAAAAUUAAAGAUGUUUGCUUCAUGCAAAUCCAAGGUGGUAGGUUGUAAGGAAUGAGCAUCACUGGCCAAGUGCUGUGUGUAGAACUCAAGUUCCUAAAUGGGUUAAAUCCAUCACUUGCAAGACCAAGGCGUACAUUACGAGCAUCUUUUGCAAAUUCAGGAUAUCUUCUAUCAAAAUCAUUCCAAGCUUCUGCAUCAGCUGGAUGUCGCAGUUUGCCAUCUUUUGUACGUCCCUCAUCAUGCCAUCGCAUAUCAUCGGAAGUUUUGUUAGUUGCAAAUAACCUUUGGAGUCUUGGUAUCAACGGAAAAUAACGUAACACUUUUGCUGGCUUCUUUUUCUUUUUUGGUUGAGCUGCAGAGCCAUUCUUCUUCAUAUCUUUCCAUCGAGAGCUUUUACACACAUGACAAGUCUCUUGUUUAGCUCUAUUUCCUCGAAAAAGCAUGCAAUCUUUUGGGCAUGCUUGGAUUUUCACAUAGUCAAGACCAAAAGCACGGAUGAUUUUUUUUGCUUCAUAAUAUGUCUUAGGUAGAUUUGCCUCAGGUGGAAGUGCCUUAGAUAGCAGACCAAGCAGCGAUGUGAAGGAUUCUUGAGUCCAACCAUGUAAACACUUCUGGUGAUAUAAGUGGACUAAAAAUGACAACUUGGUAAAUGUCUCACAACCAGGGUACAACCUUGUGUGUGCAUCCUUAAAGAAUCUUGUGUACAUAUCAUGUUCUAUCCUCAUAGUAUUAUCUUCAGCAGGACUCACAUCCUCUGUCAUAUUAUGUUCCAUAUUUCUAUCCUCUGCCACAUUAUGUUCCAUAUCUGUAAAACUAGACUGAAUAUCAUCUAGUUCAGCUUCAGACAUACUUGGCAAUGAUUCAUAGCUUGCUGGAGCAAGAAAUACAGCCUGUAGCAUUCCUUGCAUGUCAUCUAAUAUUCCAUGGCGAUUUUCUACCGUAGCAGUCCUUGAGACACCCAAAGUAGGCAUGCUUGCAUCAUUAUUUGGAACAUGAGCAAAUGCAAAUGAUGGUGGGUCAUACUCCUCUCCAUGGUGAUUCCAUAUUGUAUAACCCUGAAGAAUACCAUCACAUUUCAGGUGUGUCUCAACUUCAUCACGAUUUUGGGUUACUCUGUUUUCACAAUUAUUGCAAGGGCAUGGUAUUUUGCUAUUAUGUGGAAGGUCACAAAAAGCAAAAGAUAGGAAUUGGUCGACUCCAUCUUUGUAAGCAGGGUCACGUCUUGGUUUACUC
RNAcentral lists this long non-coding RNA (6119 nucleotides) under Setaria italica (foxtail millet). RNAcentral describes it as "long non-coding RNA (SITA_LNC000235)". The record is from RNAcentral. Lineage: Eukaryota; Viridiplantae; Streptophyta; Magnoliopsida; Poales; Poaceae.